GACGCGCGCCUGGGCCUGACGCGUCUCCGGAAUGUCCAGCAACAAUUUGUCAAACAAAUUUCUGCAAACGUUGUUGCUGGACAUUCUGUUGCUUACACCAGAUAAAACCUCACGUGCCGCAAUAUAAUUAAUAAGGUUACUCUUAACCUUACAAGCAGUACUCAACAUCCGCCUGGAACACAGAAGUUCCUCCAGCAGCCAGUAGAGACGCAGUGAAGUAAUACUCGUCCUCGAGUAACCAACGCACUCUACUGGGAAACGAUCCGGCGA
Molecule: long non-coding RNA, 270 nt
Organism: Manduca sexta (tobacco hornworm)
Lineage: Eukaryota; Metazoa; Arthropoda; Insecta; Lepidoptera; Sphingidae
Exons: 2
Source: RefSeq, a predicted model, not a curated record